RNAcentral lists this ribosomal RNA (468 nucleotides) under uncultured bacterium. Its description in RNAcentral is "partial 16S ribosomal RNA". It matches the Rfam family "Bacterial small subunit ribosomal RNA", at positions 28 to 507 of the family's 1533-position model. The record is from RNAcentral.
GGCGAACGCUGGCGGCGUGCUUAACACAUGCAAGUCGAACGGAAAGGCCCUGCUUUUGUGGGGUGCUCGAGUGGCGAACGGGUGAGUAACACGUGAGUAACCUGCCCUUGACUUUGGGAUAACUUCAGGAAACUGGGGCUAAUACCGGAUAGGAGCUCCUGCUGCAUGGUGGGGGUUGGAAAGUUUCGGCGGUUGGGGAUGGACUCGCGGCUUAUCAGCUUGUUGGUGGGGUAGUGGCUUACCAAGGCUUUGACGGGUAGCCGGCCUGAGAGGGUGACCGGCCACAUUGGGACUGAGAUACGGCCCAGACUCCUACAGGAGGCAGCAGUGGGGAAUAUUGCACAAUGGGCGGAAGCCUGAUGCAGCAACGCCGCGUGCGGGAUGACGGCCUUCGGGUUGUAAACCGCUUUCGCCUGUGACGAAGCGUGAGUGACGGUAAUGGGUAAAGAAGCACCGGCUAACUACGUG